RNAcentral lists this ribosomal RNA (253 nucleotides) under uncultured bacterium. RNAcentral's name for it is "partial 16S ribosomal RNA". It matches the Rfam family "Bacterial small subunit ribosomal RNA", at positions 524 to 776 of the family's 1533-position model. The record is from RNAcentral.
UACGUAGGGGGCAAGCGUUGUCCGGAUUUAUUGGGCGUAAAGAGCGUGUAGGCGGCCAGGUAGGUCUGCUGUGAAAACUGGAGGCUUAACCUCCAGCUGUCGAUGGAAACCAUCUGGCUAGAGUCCGGAAGAGGAGAGUGGAAUUCCUGGUGUAGCGGUGAAAUGCGCAGAUAUCAGGAAGAACACCCGUGGCGAAGGCGGCUCUCUGGGACGGUACUGACGCUGAGACGCGAAAGCGUGGGGAGCGAACAGG